AAAGGGAGACCUAAUUCAGGUAGGAGACGAAAAAAAAGUAGUCGCUACCAAGAAUCAAUCCCAAAAGGUCGGAGCGAGGCGAAAUUGGCUUUCAAACUAGGUUCUGGGUUCAAACAAGACCUGAAUCAGGAACAAGGGCUAUUAGCUCAGGUGGUUAGAGCGCACCCCUGAUAAGGGUGAGGUCCCUGGUUCGAGUCCAGGAUGGCCCACCUGCACAGGUGGCAAAAACAAGAGAAGCGAGGAAUCAGCACCUUAUCUUACUUAUAUAGUAAGAGAGAAUGCUGGCUCUGAGUAAAGAGUCCAGAGGAACCUUGAAAACUGCAUAGAGCUAGGUGAAAAAGCCAAAAAAGAAGACCGCAUG
This 361-nucleotide transfer RNA is filed under the name uncultured Microcystis sp. RNAcentral's name for it is "partial 16S-23S ribosomal RNA intergenic spacer". The stretch from base 136 to 209 matches the Rfam family "tRNA". The record is from RNAcentral. Lineage: Bacteria; Bacillati; Cyanobacteriota; Cyanophyceae; Chroococcales; Microcystaceae.